RNAcentral lists this ribosomal RNA (1347 nucleotides) under Staphylococcus aureus. RNAcentral describes it as "partial 23S ribosomal RNA". It matches the Rfam family "Bacterial large subunit ribosomal RNA", at positions 103 to 1452 of the family's 2925-position model. The record is from RNAcentral. Lineage: Bacteria; Bacillati; Bacillota; Bacilli; Caryophanales; Staphylococcaceae.
UCCAGAGAUUUCCGAAUGGGGAAACCCAGCAUGAGUUAUGUCAUGUUAUCGAUAUGUGAAUACAUAGCAUAUCAGAAGGCACACCCGGAGAACUGAAACAUCUUAGUACCCGGAGGAAGAGAAAGAAAAUUCGAUUCCCUUAGUAGCGGCGAGCGAAACGGGAAGAGCCCAAACCAACAAGCUUGCUUGUUGGGGUUGUAGGACACUCUAUACGGAGUUACAAAGGACGACAUUAGACGAAUCAUCUGGAAAGAUGAAUCAAAGAAGGUAAUAAUCCUGUAGUCGAAAAUGUUGUCUCUCUUGAGUGGAUCCUGAGUACGACGGAGCACGUGAAAUUCCGUCGGAAUCUGGGAGGACCAUCUCCUAAGGCUAAAUACUCUCUAGUGACCGAUAGUGAACCAGUACCGUGAGGGAAAGGUGAAAAGCACCCCGGAAGGGGAGUGAAAUAGAACCUGAAACCGUGUGCUUACAAGUAGUCAGAGCCCGUUAAUGGGUGAUGGCGUGCCUUUUGUAGAAUGAACCGGCGAGUUACGAUUUGAUGCAAGGUUAAGCAGUAAAUGUGGAGCCGUAGCGAAAGCGAGUCUGAAUAGGGCGUUUAGUAUUUGGUCGUAGACCCGAAACCAGGUGAUCUACCCUUGGUCAGGUUGAAGUUCAGGUAACACUGAAUGGAGGACCGAACCGACUUACGUUGAAAAGUGAGCGGAUGAACUGAGGGUAGCGGAGAAAUUCCAAUCGAACCUGGAGAUAGCUGGUUCUCUCCGAAAUAGCUUUAGGGCUAGCCUCAAGUGAUGAUUAUUGGAGGUAGAGCACUGUUUGGACGAGGGGCCCCUCUCGGGUUACCGAAUUCAGACAAACUCCGAAUGCCAAUUAAUUUAACUUGGGAGUCAGAACAUGGGUGAUAAGGUCCGUGUUCGAAAGGGAAACAGCCCAGACCACCAGCUAAGGUCCCAAAAUAUAUGUUAAGUGGAAAAGGAUGUGGCGUUGCCCAGACAACUAGGAUGUUGGCUUAGAAGCAGCCAUCAUUUAAAGAGUGCGUAAUAGCUCACUAGUCGAGUGACACUGCGCCGAAAAUGUACCGGGGCUAAACAUAUUACCGAAGCUGUGGAUUGUCCUUUGGACAAUGGUAGGAGAGCGUUCUAAGGGCGUUGAAGCAUGAUCGUAAGGACAUGUGGAGCGCUUAGAAGUGAGAAUGCCGGUGUGAGUAGCGAAAGACGGGUGAGAAUCCCGUCCACCGAUUGACUAAGGUUUCCAGAGGAAGGCUCGUCCGCUCUGGGUUAGUCGGGUCCUAAGCUGAGGCCGACAGGCGUAGGCGAUGGAUAACAGGUUGAUAUUCCUGUACCACCUAUA